GUAUGCCUACGGGGGGCAGCAGUAGGGAAUUUUCGUCAAUGGGCGCAAGCCUGAACGAGCGAUGCCGCGUGAGUGAAGAAGGGUUUCGGCUCGUAAAGCUCUGUUGGUAGUGAAGAAAGAUAGAGGUAGUAACUGGCCUUUAUUUGACGGUAAUUACUUAGAAAGUCACGGCUAACUACGUGCCAGCAGCCGCGGUAAUACGUAGGUGGCAAGCGUUGUCCGGAUUUAUUGGGCGUAAAGCGAGUGCAGGCGG
Molecule: ribosomal RNA, 253 nt
Filed under: uncultured bacterium
Lineage: Bacteria
Description: partial 16S ribosomal RNA
Rfam family: Bacterial small subunit ribosomal RNA
Source: RNAcentral